CUUGUCUCUCAAUCUAUAGGAUUGGCAUUAUAAAUUGUUUUUGUUGUUGUGGCUACUGCUGCUGUUGUCCCUUCAAUAUACACAAAUUGUAUAAAUGUAUAUGGAAUACUAUUUACGUUAAUGUAGAAAAUUAGAGAGUUUGGGAUUUUGGAUUCGGGAUCGGAUCAGGGGGUUUCUGGUACAAAAAUUAGUUUGCUAUGAAAGUUCUCGCAGGUUAAGAGUGUUUCUGUUGGGUUUCGAAGCUGAACACUGGAAUCGCUGCUGCAAGGAAGAAAACAUAAAGAGAAGAGAAGAAGUAUAUGGUUUGCGGUUAGUUAAAACAUUAGUUAUAGUUUUAGUUUAUUUAGGACAAGGUCUACAAUGCGGUGGUCACAUAGUGGCACAUGAUCGGCAAAUGUUACAUUUGGAAUUAGGUAGGCAAAUGAUAUGGAUAAGUGGUCGCUCGCUCCGUCCGCCCUAUGUCUGUCUGUCUGGUCUGUCUAUCGGUCUUCUCUGUCUCUCUGUAGGGAACAAAGAGCCGACUAGCUGCUGGCCUGGCGGCAAAGCAGUGCAGGGGCACGCACACACGUGCGCACACUCACACACACACACGCACAGAAUGAACUAAAGAGAGAGAGGGACGGGCCCAAGAUCCGUUUCCUCGCAAAUUUAACAAAGCAAAUGUCACAAAAUUGCAGUGUAAGCAAAACAUUUUAUUUGAUAUUACUGCAUAAACUAUUAUACACCAUAACGAGAGCGGCAUCGGUAGGAACUACUCUUUUCCGGGAGCAAACGCAAUGUAGAACACUGGCGCACACGCACACAGAGACACGGAAGAGGGCGAAAGACAAAAUGAAAACCAACUAGAGGAGAGGAUGAAUGACCGUCGAUAACAAAAUACAUAAUGGAAAACAUGGAGAAAGAGUUGGGAAAUUGGCGAAACCGAAACCGGCCAAGGCAGCGGCGGCAGUUCGACAGCAGCGCCGAAAUACAUUUCGGCGAAUCAAGUCGAAUUCGAAAUAAAAUUUAAAUUUGCAUGGCAC
Long non-coding RNA from Drosophila guanche, 1022 nucleotides. RefSeq lists it as uncharacterized. The record is from RefSeq and is a predicted model, not a curated record. Lineage: Eukaryota; Metazoa; Arthropoda; Insecta; Diptera; Drosophilidae. The transcript has 2 exons.